GCAGCUGUGGCCUACUGGUUAGUGCUUUGGACUUGAAACCGGAAGAUUGCAGGUUCGAACCCCGAUCAGUAGGCA
Molecule: transfer RNA, 75 nt
Filed under: Alosa alosa (allis shad)
Lineage: Eukaryota; Metazoa; Chordata; Actinopteri; Clupeiformes; Clupeidae
Description: tRNA-OTHER
Source: RNAcentral